Molecule: long non-coding RNA, 1222 nt
Organism: Paramormyrops kingsleyae
Lineage: Eukaryota; Metazoa; Chordata; Actinopteri; Osteoglossiformes; Mormyridae
Source: RefSeq, a predicted model, not a curated record
ACGAAUCCUGUGAACAGCACACAAAGCGUUUAGAAUCGCUUGCAGGAUUCAUUUUAUUGUGAGGAAACCGCUGCUAUUCCAGUGGCGUAACAUGGGUGUUAGAAAUCAUGCCAGUUUAUGGAUAAGAACCGAAACAUCUGACAAGCGGGCUUAACUCUGUCGAUUUUGUUAAACGCUGCCGUGAAUCGUCCUGCUUUGUGAAAUGUAAUGAAUGCCGUUUUAAAACGGUGUAAAAGUAAGGUGAGAGGUAACAGACAAAAAACGGAGCUGUGAAUUUAACCGCCACUUUAUUGAAAUGAAUGGUUGUGUGGAACAAAGGGCAAAGGUUUUCCGUACCUGGCAGUUUAUGUAGCUCUCGUCUAAAUCAAAAUAGCCGCGCUUUCUAACUAAUGCUUUACCGCAGUCCUAAAUCUCCUCGACGCAGAGGAAAACAGUAACGUCUGAAAAGAAAUAAGCACAUGGAUGACUACAUCUCAGCGGCAGCAUCGAGCUUCCUUUCAUACUGACCUGUUUGGCUGCCGUGAAACAGACUAAUUAUCACAUUCUCGGAGCGACUGUAAUUAACAAGCUGGCCCCCGGAGCGGAAGUGUGAAUGUUUCAGGUUGCGGAUCUGUCUGCGGCUUCCCGCGCAAGCUGUCACGUUUGUUUGCCGACCGGCGCGCACACACCCCGCUGCAGAUUUCCGAAGCCUGCCAGUGUAAAUGAAAGGGAAAAACAAUGUGGCGCAGCCCGGUGGCCCGAUCGAGGGAUGAUACAUGCUGUGACUGCUGCAGGAGUGACCCGGGGUGCACGGCCGGUGCUGCACCUUGAAAUCUGAAGAAGAACCUGUUUUGGCCUCAAGUGAAGAUGUCUUCAGUUCAUCUGCACUGGGGACUGCAUCCUCCUUCAUCACCACAAGGGGGACCGGAUCGUCUCAUUGCAUUUCAUUACUCCCUCCACCCCGGUGAAAACAACCAUCUGCCCUUGUUCUCUGUAGGAAACGGAUUUCAGUGUCCGCCCGCUUUCAUUCGCCAGCCUUGUGACACAUCUAUCACAGAGAUGAAGCGAAUGUGAAUUAGAUGCAUAGCCAUUGAGAUGCCUGCAGUUAAUAAUUUACCAUUUGCUUAUUGAAACAGAGACACGUACUGUUAUUCUGACAUGCUAUUCCGGGUCCUGGAAUUUGCAUGCAGAUGAAUCUGAAGAGAACUAAAAAAUGAAUAAAAAAAAUCUCACUCUCAUCAAA